RNAcentral lists this ribosomal RNA (512 nucleotides) under uncultured bacterium. Its description in RNAcentral is "bacterial SSU rRNA". It matches the Rfam family "Bacterial small subunit ribosomal RNA", at positions 8 to 518 of the family's 1533-position model. The record is from RNAcentral.
AGAGUUUGAUUCGUGGCUACAGGAUGAACGCUGGCGGCGUGCUUAACACAUGCAAGUCGAACGGAGUUUUAACGGAAGUUUCGGAUGGAAGUUAAGAACUUAGUGGCGGACGGGUGAGUAACGCGUGGGUAACCUGCCUCAUACAGGGGGAUAACAGUUAGAAAUGACUGCUAAACACCGCAUAAUAUAGUGAAACCGCAUGAUUUUGCUAUCAAAUAUUUAUAGGUAUGAGAUGGGCCCGCGUCUGAUUAGCUAGUUGGUGGGGUAAAAGCCUACCAAGGCGACGAUCAGUAGCCGGCUUGACGAGAGUGACCGGCCACAUUGGGACUGAGACACGGCCCAAACUCCUACGGGAGGCAGCAGUGGGGAAUAUUGGACAAUGGGGGAAACCCUGAUCCAGCGAACCGCCGCGUGAGUGAAGAAGUAUUUCGGUAUGUAAAGCUCUAUCAGCAGGGAAGAUUAAUGACAGUACCUGACUAAGAAGCCCCGGCUAACUACGUGCCAGCAGCCGC